Molecule: ribosomal RNA, 253 nt
Filed under: uncultured prokaryote
Description: partial 16S ribosomal RNA
Rfam family: Bacterial small subunit ribosomal RNA
Source: RNAcentral
ACGAAGGCUCCAAGCGUUAUCCGGAUUUAUUGGGCGUAAAGCGACAGCAGACGGUAAUGUUAGUCGGGUGUUAAAUCUCUGGGCUCAACUCAGAGGCCGCAUUCGAAACGGCAUCACUAGAGGCAAGGAGAGGUGAGUGGAACUCAUGGUGUAGGGGUGAAAUCCGUUGAUAUCAUGGGGAACACCAAAGGCGAAGGCAGCUCACUGGCCUUGUCCUGACGUUCAGUGUCGAAAGCGUGGGGAGCGAAUGGGA